UGGGUAGUAUCCAAUAUGGAACUGCACCUGAUUGUUUUUAUUUCUAAAUUUGUAUAAAAACUGCUCACAUCAAUAAAAUUAAGACAAAAU
This is a non-coding RNA of Clostridium botulinum A str. ATCC 3502, 90 nucleotides long. The record is from Rfam. Lineage: Bacteria; Bacillati; Bacillota; Clostridia; Eubacteriales; Clostridiaceae.